UACGAAGGGGGCUAGCGUUGCUCGGAAUCACUGGGCGUAAAGGGUGCGUAGGCGGGUCUUUAGGUCAGGGGUGAAAUCCUGGAGCUCAACUCCAGAACUGCCUUUGAUACUGAAGAUCUUGAGUUCGGGAGAGGUGAGUGGAACUGCGAGUGUAGAGGUGAAAUUCGUAGAUAUUCGCAAGAACACCAGUGGCGAAGGCGGCCCACUGGCCCGAUACUGACGCUGAGGCACGAAAGCGUGGGGAGCAAACAGG
This 253-nucleotide ribosomal RNA is filed under the name uncultured bacterium. RNAcentral's name for it is "partial 16S ribosomal RNA". It matches the Rfam family "Bacterial small subunit ribosomal RNA", at positions 524 to 776 of the family's 1533-position model. The record is from RNAcentral.